Pelobates cultripes (western spadefoot toad) is the source of this 218-nucleotide non-coding RNA. Lineage: Eukaryota; Metazoa; Chordata; Amphibia; Anura; Pelobatidae. The record is from the annotation of a GenBank genome assembly.
GCUUAGACGAUAAUCCCCCCCUUCAGAGUCAGGCACAGCUACUGUAUAAUCACCAAAACUCACGAACCGCCAAUAAGUGAAUGCUCCAAACUCCCGAACGGCAUACAAGGGAAUAAGGUAGCACUUCAAAUAAACGAACAGGAACCAUACGAAUAGCUGCUAGCAGGCGAACAGGAAAAGCUUCCAAGCGGCUUACACUCCUGGCAAUCAGUCCUUAG